CUCAUUCUUCACUGUUUUGCCAUUUUAUUUUAUUAAUAUGAAUAAAAUUUUAAUUGUAAAAAAAUAGAAAUUUUUUCUUUCUCUCUCGCUUAAACUGUCGACAGAAAAAAAAAAAAAAAAAAAACUUGCGACUUCUUCUUCUUCUCCUACGCUCAUCCCCGAUCUCAGGCAACUCCUUCUCCGUCACCACCUCCAAGUCACAGACCCCUUCGAUUUCGAAAACCCCAACCCCAUCUCGUGUUCAUGUUUGUUGCGAGAGAGAAACCCUAAUUCCACACCACCGCAUGCAAUUCCCAGAAACAUAAACUUGAUGGCUUCAUCUUCUGUCAUUAGAAUGUAUCCUCGGCGUUUGUACGAAGUUGGGAGAACACCAAUUCAGAACAGAAUUUGAUGUAUACAAAGAUUUGAUGUUACUUACUAGAAUUUUUGAUUCUUUAGGAUAACAUGGAUAGAGCUUUACCAUCUCACCUCUGAUUCGAAUUACUAAUAAGUGCUUUUAUAUUCUUUUUUUUUUGUUCUCUGCAAUGACUUUGUUCUCUGUUUUUUUUUUUUUUUUUUUACUAUUUUCGUUACAUAUUAUUCAGUCAUGGAUGGUUCAGAAAAAGAUCAAUUCACAAGAUGGAUUGCCAAUACAAUGUGUUGUGAAGAAGGAGAAAAAACUAAGAAGAUGAUACAGAAGGAGGAACUUACGAACAAGGAGGAGAAAAAGAAUGAGAAGAAAGCUGAAGUACCAGUAAAAAAAGUAAAGCAAGAGAAGGCCUUCGAUAUACCAGAAGUAAAAGAUGAAUCUAUAUCAUCAAGAAGCUUGGGAAAAUCAUCUUUAAUGGAAUUUAGAUGGAUGUAUAACUUGCUGGUUUAUGGAUUUAGAUGGAUGUAUAACUUGCUAGUUUUUGGCUUUAAAUGGAUUUAUAACUUGCUGGUUUUUUUUGGCUUAUGAAUGAUGGAUGUAUAAUAGUUUCGAUUUAUGCA
Raphanus sativus (radish) is the source of this 969-nucleotide long non-coding RNA. RefSeq lists it as uncharacterized. The transcript has 2 exons. The record is from RefSeq and is a predicted model, not a curated record. Lineage: Eukaryota; Viridiplantae; Streptophyta; Magnoliopsida; Brassicales; Brassicaceae.